GACGAACCGUGCGAACGUUGUUCGGAAUUACUGGGCUUAAAGGGCGCGUAGGCGGGCGACCAAGUCCUGGGUGAAAUCCUCCGGCUUAACCGGAGAAGUGCCUGAGAUACUGGUCGUCUGGAGGGAGGUAGGGGCAGCUGGAACUUCCGGUGGAGCGGUGAAAUGCGUUGAUAUCGGAAGGAACGCCGGUGGCGAAAGCGAGCUGCUGGACCUUUUCUGACGCUGAGGCGCGAAAGCCAGGGGAGCAAACGGG
Molecule: ribosomal RNA, 253 nt
Filed under: uncultured bacterium
Lineage: Bacteria
Description: partial 16S ribosomal RNA
Rfam family: Bacterial small subunit ribosomal RNA
Source: RNAcentral